CCUACGGGGGGCAGCAGUGAGGAAUAUUGGUCAAUGGACGAGAGUCUGAACCAGCCAAGUAGCGUGAAGGAUGACUGCCCUAUGGGUUGUAAACUUCUUUUAUAAAGGAAUAAAACGAGGCACGUGUGCCUUUUUGCAUGUACUUUAUGAAUAAGGAUCGGCUAACUCCGUGCCAGCAGCCGCGGUAAUACGGAGGAUCCGAGCGUUAUCCGGAUUUAUUGGGUUUAAAGGGAGCGUAGAUGGGUUGUUAAGUCAGUUGUGAAAGUUUGCGGCUCAACCGUAAAAUUGCAAUUGAUACUGGCAGUCGUGAGUACAGUUGAGGUAAGCGGAAUGCGUGGUGUAGCGGUGAAAUGCUUAGAUAUCACGAAGAACCCCGAUUGCGAAGGCAGCUUACUAAACUGUGACUGACAUUGAUGCUCGAAAGUGUGGGUAUCAAACAGGAUUAGAUACCCCAGUAGUC
Molecule: ribosomal RNA, 460 nt
Filed under: uncultured bacterium
Lineage: Bacteria
Description: partial 16S ribosomal RNA
Rfam family: Bacterial small subunit ribosomal RNA
Source: RNAcentral